GAAAUAGUUUUGAGAGGCUAUGUAGCAGCAUUGGAGAUUCAGUCAACUUUGAUGGAUAGAAUCAGAGAAGCUCAGAAAGCUGACAGAGAGAUUGCCGCUAUAAAGGAGAAACUGAGCAAAGGAAAAGCUAAAGGAUUUCGUGAGGAUGAACACGACACCCUAUGGUUUGAAGACCGUGUUUACGUGCCCAAUGACCCAGAGAUCAGGAAGUUGAUACUGCAAGAGGCACACGACUCACCAUAUUCGAUUCACCCAGGAAACACCAAGAUGUAUUUGGAUUUGAAGGAUAUUUUCUGGUGGACCGGAAUGAAGAAGGAUAUAGCGGAGUAUGUAGCAGUUUGUGAUGUAUGUCAGAGAGUAAAGGCAGAGCAUCAGAAGCCAGCA
This 384-nucleotide ribosomal RNA is filed under the name Triticum aestivum (bread wheat). RNAcentral describes it as "partial small subunit ribosomal RNA". Lineage: Eukaryota; Viridiplantae; Streptophyta; Magnoliopsida; Poales; Poaceae. The record is from RNAcentral.